This 382-nucleotide ribosomal RNA is filed under the name uncultured Gammaproteobacteria bacterium. RNAcentral describes it as "bacterial SSU rRNA". It matches the Rfam family "Bacterial small subunit ribosomal RNA", at positions 28 to 426 of the family's 1533-position model. The record is from RNAcentral. Lineage: Bacteria; Pseudomonadati; Pseudomonadota; Gammaproteobacteria.
GAUGAACGCUGGCGGUCUGCUUAACACAUGCAAGUCGAACGAACUCUUCGGAGUGAGUGGCGGACGGGUGAGUAACGCGUAGGAAUCUACCUAGUAGUGGGGGACAACAGUUGGAAACGACUGCUAAUACCGCAUACGCCUACGGGGAAGGCAGGGAGUCUUCGGACCUUGCGCUAUUAGAUGAGCCUGCGUCGGAUUAGCUGGUUGGUGGGGUAAUGGCCUACCAAGGCGACGAUCCGUAGCUGGUCUGAGAGGAUGAUCAGCCACACUGGGACUGAGACACGGCCCAGACUCCUACGGGAGGCAGCAGUGGGGAUAUUGCACAAUAGGGCGAAAGCCUGAUGCAGCCAUGCCGCGUGUGUGAAGAAGGCUCUAGGGUUGU